AGAAUUGAUCUGGUCAGGACGAACGCUGGCGGCGUGCCUAACACAUGCAAGGUCGAGCGGGGACUGCGCGACGGACCUGAAGAUUCGGUGGAUGGGAAGAUGCACAGUUCUAGCGGCGGACGGGUGAGUAACGCGUGAGCAACCUGUCCCUUACAGGGGGAUAACACAGCGAAAGUUGUACUAAUACCGCAUAAGACCACGGCAUCACAUGGUGGCGGGGUCAAAGGAGCAAUCCGGUAAGGGGUGGGCUCGCGUCCGAUUAGAUAGUUGGUGAGGUAACGGCCCACCAAGUCGACGAUCGGUAGCCGACCUGAGAGGGUGAUCGGCCACAUUGGGACUGAGACACGGCCCAAACUCCUACGGGAGGCAGCAGUGGGGAAUAUUGGGCAAUGGGCGCAAGCCUGACCCAGCAACGCCGCGUGAAGGAAGAAGGCUUUCGGGUUGUAAACUUCUUUUAUGAGGGACGAAGAACGUGACGGUACCUCAUGAAUAAGCCACGGCUAACUACGUGCCAGCAGCCGC
Molecule: ribosomal RNA, 522 nt
Filed under: uncultured bacterium
Lineage: Bacteria
Description: bacterial SSU rRNA
Rfam family: Bacterial small subunit ribosomal RNA
Source: RNAcentral